AUUGAACGCUGGCGGCAGGCCUAACACAUGCAAGUCGAACGGUAACAGGAAGAGGCUUGCUUCUUUGCUGACGAGUGGCGGACGGGUGAGUAAUGUCUGGGAAACUGCCUGAUGGAGGGGGAUAACUACUGGAAACGGUAGCUAAUACCGCAUAACGUCGCAAGACCAAGGAGGGGGACCUUCGGGCCUCUUGCCAUCGGAUGUGCCCAGAUGGGAUUAGCUAGUAGGUGGGGUAACGGCUCACCUAGGCGACGAUCCCUAGCUGGUCUGAGAGGAUGACCAGCCACACUGGAACUGAGACACGGUCCAGACUCCUACGGGAGGCAGCAGUGGGGAAUAUUGCACAAUGGGCGCAAGCCUGAUGCAGCCAUGCCGCGUGUAUGAGGAAGGCCUUCGGGUUGUAAAGUACUUUCAGCGGGGAGGAAGGGAGUAAAGUUAAUACCUUUGCUCAUUGACGUUACCCGCAGAAGAAGCACCGGCUAACUCCGUG
Molecule: ribosomal RNA, 490 nt
Filed under: uncultured bacterium
Lineage: Bacteria
Description: partial 16S ribosomal RNA
Rfam family: Bacterial small subunit ribosomal RNA
Source: RNAcentral